UACGUAGGGGGCGAGCGUUGUCCGGAAUUAUUGGGCGUAAAGAGCUCGUAGGCGGUCUGUCGCGUCGGUCGUGAAAACUUGGGGCUUAACCCUGAGCUUGCGGUCGAUACGGGCAUGACUGGAGUUCGGCAGGGGAGACUGGAAUUCCUGGUGUAGCGGUGAAAUGCGUAGAGAUCAUGAGGAAGACCAGUGGCGAAGGCGGGUCUCUGGACAGUUCCUGACACUGAGGCACGAAGGCCAGGGGAGCAAACGGG
RNAcentral lists this ribosomal RNA (254 nucleotides) under uncultured bacterium. RNAcentral's name for it is "partial 16S ribosomal RNA". It matches the Rfam family "Bacterial small subunit ribosomal RNA", at positions 524 to 776 of the family's 1533-position model. The record is from RNAcentral.